UACGGAGGGAGCUAGCGUUGUUCGGAAAUACUGGGCGUAAAGCGCACGUAGGCGGAUCGAUCAGUCAGGGGUGAAAUCCCAGAGCUCAACUCUGGAACUGCCUUUGAUACUGUCGAUCUAGAGUAUGGAAGAGGUGAGUGGAAUUCCGAGUGUAGAGGUGAAAUUCGUAGAUAUUCGGAGGAACACCAGUGGCGAAGGCGGCUCACUGGUCCAUUACUGACGCUGAGGUGCGAAAGCGUGGGGAGCAAACAGG
RNAcentral lists this ribosomal RNA (253 nucleotides) under uncultured bacterium. RNAcentral describes it as "partial 16S ribosomal RNA". It matches the Rfam family "Bacterial small subunit ribosomal RNA", at positions 524 to 776 of the family's 1533-position model. The record is from RNAcentral.